UUCUGUGUAUUUUUUAUAAAUAUCACGAACAGUCUGACCUGGUCACAAAACAUCACAUCACAAGUUAAGAGAGCGCAGCAGUGGUUGCACUUUCUGCACCGGAUGAGAAGAGCUCACCUCCCCCAUCCCGUCCUCACCACUUUCUACAGGGGCAACAUGGAGAGCAUCUUGACCAGCUGCAUCUCUGUCUGGUUUG
Molecule: long non-coding RNA, 196 nt
Organism: Amblyraja radiata (thorny skate)
Lineage: Eukaryota; Metazoa; Chordata; Chondrichthyes; Rajiformes; Rajidae
Exons: 3
Source: RefSeq, a predicted model, not a curated record